UCCGGUGACCAUAUCUGGAAGGCUACACCCGUUCCCUUUUCGAACACGGCCGUUAAGCUUCCAGAGCCGAUGGUAGUACUGCAAGUGCGAGAGUAGGUGUUGCCGGGU
Molecule: ribosomal RNA, 108 nt
Filed under: Pirellulales bacterium
Lineage: Bacteria; Pseudomonadati; Planctomycetota; Planctomycetia; Pirellulales
Source: RNAcentral